GACGAACGCUGGCGGCGUGCUUAACACAUGCAAGUCGAACGGAAAGGCCCUGCUUUUGUGGGGUGCUCGAGUGGCGAACGGGUGUGUAUCACGUGAGUAACCUGCCCUUGACUUUGGGAUAACUUCAGGAAACUGGGGCUAUUACCGGAUAGGAGCUCCUGCUGCAUGGUGGUGGUUUGAAAGUUUCGGCGGUUGGGGAUGGACUCGCGGCUUAUCAGCUUGUUGGUGGGGUAGUGGCUUACCAGGGCUUUGACGGGUAGCCGGCCUGAGAGGGUGACCGGCCACAUUGGGACUGAGAUACGGCCCAGACGCCUACGGGAGGCAGCAGUGGGGAAUAUUGCACAAUGGGCGGAAGCCUGAUGCAGCAACGCCGCGUGCGGGAUGACGGCCUGCGGGGUGUAAACCGCGUUCGCCUGUGACGAAGCGCGAGUGACGGUAAUUGGUAAAGAAGCACCGGCUAACUACGUG
This 468-nucleotide ribosomal RNA is filed under the name uncultured bacterium. RNAcentral's name for it is "partial 16S ribosomal RNA". It matches the Rfam family "Bacterial small subunit ribosomal RNA", at positions 28 to 507 of the family's 1533-position model. The record is from RNAcentral.